Long non-coding RNA from Zingiber officinale, 362 nucleotides. RefSeq lists it as uncharacterized. The record is from RefSeq and is a predicted model, not a curated record. The transcript is spliced from 3 exons. NCBI's taxonomy places the organism in Eukaryota, Viridiplantae, Streptophyta, Magnoliopsida, Zingiberales, Zingiberaceae.
AGAGUUUUAUUGGUGUACUUGCUCGGGAAAAAGUUAAUAUUAAUUACCACUCUUGGAAGCAAGUGCCGAAUGAAGUUGAGAACAUGAUAUGGGAAUCCGUCAAUUUGACAUACCAACUGGACCCAAAAUGGAGGAAUGGGUGUUUGAGCUCUGCAAACACCAAGUGGCGUCAGUAUAAAACUCACCUCACCAGGACAUUCAUCCAACCAAAUAGAAAUAAUCCGAAACUUCUCAACAAGGUACCUCAAGGGCAUUGCAUUUCACGUGAAGAUUGGAGUAGUUUUGUGAUUAAUCGGAUGUCUGAAGACUUUAUAAGGAAAAGUGAACUACAAAGUCAAAGAAGCAAGGCAAACUUAUACCCU